GAUGAAGAACGCAGCGAAAUGCGAUACGUAAUGUGAAUUGCAGAAUUCAGUGAAUCAUCGAGUCUUUGAACGCACAUUGCGCCCCCUGGUAUUCCGGGGGGCAUGCCUGUCCGAGCGUCAUUGCUGCCCUCAAGCACGGCUUGCGUGUUGGGCCUCCGUCCUCCUCCCGGGGGACGGGCCCGAAAGGCAGCGGCGGCACCGCGUCCGGUCCUCGAGCGUAUGGGGCUUCGUCACCCGCUCUUGUAGGCCCGGCCGGCGCUUGCCGACACAUCAAUCUUUUUUCCAGGUUGACCUCGGAUCAGGUAGGGAUACCCGCUGAACUUAAGCAUAUCAAUAAGCGGAGGA
RNAcentral lists this unclassified non-coding RNA (345 nucleotides) under soil metagenome. RNAcentral's name for it is "partial contains 5.8S ribosomal RNA, internal transcribed spacer 2, and large subunit ribosomal RNA". The stretch from base 1 to 120 matches the Rfam family "5.8S ribosomal RNA", at positions 35 to 154 of the family's 154-position model. The record is from RNAcentral.